UAGUGGCGGACGGGUGAGUAACGCGUGAGAAUCUGCCCUCAGGAGGGGGAUAACGGCUGGAAACGGCCGCUAAUACCCCAUAUGCCGAGAGGUGAAAUGAAUUUCGCCUGAGGAUGAGCUCGCGUCUGAUUAGCUAGUUGGUGUGGGAAAGGCUCACCAAGGCAUCGAUCAGUAGCUGGUCUGAGAGGAUGAUCAGCCACCCUGGGACUGAGACACGGCCCAAACUCCUACGGGAGGCAGCAGGGGGGAAUUUUCCUCAAUGGGCGCAAGCCUGACGGAACAACCCCCCGUGAGGGAUGAAGGCCUCUGGGCUGUAAACCUCUUUUUUCAAGGAAAAAAAACUGACGGUCCUUGAUGAAUAAACCCCGGUUUAUUUCCGUGCCCCCACCCCGGGGGUAUUUCGGGGGGGG
RNAcentral lists this ribosomal RNA (410 nucleotides) under uncultured cyanobacterium. RNAcentral describes it as "partial 16S ribosomal RNA". It matches the Rfam family "Bacterial small subunit ribosomal RNA", at positions 93 to 534 of the family's 1533-position model. The record is from RNAcentral. Lineage: Bacteria; Bacillati; Cyanobacteriota.